CGACUGCUAGCCUGCUCAUAAAAGGCGAUUAAUUCAUGAAGGAAAAAUGGUAGUUUAUUGUUGUUCUGAUUUAAAAAAGCGGACACAUCAUGAGAUCCUGCCUGUGAGAACAAGGGAGCAUAUUUCCUGCGGAGAGAGACCACCUGGGGAUGUGUGCAAUGAAAGAGGACGUGUUGUUCAUCCUGGACAUUAUCAUCAGCCUCACAAGGGUUACACUUUGGGGAAGACCUGUGAUUCCAAGUUGCUGUCUCAUAGCGAAGGGUGUGAACACGAAGUCUAAAUCAAGCCACGUUG
This 294-nucleotide long non-coding RNA is filed under the name Dunaliella salina. RNAcentral describes it as "long non-coding RNA (DSAL_LNC000307)". Lineage: Eukaryota; Viridiplantae; Chlorophyta; Chlorophyceae; Chlamydomonadales; Dunaliellaceae. The record is from RNAcentral.